RNAcentral lists this ribosomal RNA (387 nucleotides) under Triticum aestivum (bread wheat). Its description in RNAcentral is "partial small subunit ribosomal RNA". The record is from RNAcentral. Lineage: Eukaryota; Viridiplantae; Streptophyta; Magnoliopsida; Poales; Poaceae.
AUGGAGCAACGGGCGGCGCGACGACAGGCCACGACGCUGGGGUUCGGAUGUGUCUGUUUGGUGCGUGGGAACCCCCCGGGGAAUUAUUUGCUCAGCUGGGCGACCAGACCAAGUGGCCUGUCAUGCAGCGCGGGUGGCGCCCAACUGUCCGGGCAGCGCGGCAUGCAUGUGCGCGGCGCCACCCGACGUGGCCGAAGGCGGCGACCGGCUCGCCGUCGUCGCGUGCAUGCACGGCGCCACGCGCGACGUACCUCGCUGGCUGGCCGGGCCGGUAGGCGACGCCCCGGCCCUGCGGACCCGCUCGAUUGGUGGGAGUGUUUAUGCAUGCAUGGUCCUGGGAAAUGGUGUCGUUUGUCUCCUUUGGCGUUCUUGGCGACGCCUGCAUGA